CUAAAUGAACACCCUAUUCAAUUUGCAAUCACAACAGCCGCAAGGUCCAAGCCCCCUCCUGCUCCUCACGCCGAAGUCAGCAAGAAUGCCGACGGCGCGCCUCUGCCGGUAAGAAACUUCUCCUUUUCCCUCGUUCUUUCGUUUAUUUGUUUUUAAAAACAAGGAAGAAAAUAAAAAAAGUACAAAACAGUAAAGAGAAAGGAAAAACGGAACCAAUCUCAAUACCUUCAAAACUUUUUUUUAUUCUCUGUUUCUGCUUUCUUCAAUCUUUUGAUACAAAGAAUUUUUUCUCUUUUUUCGUCUGUAUCGUUUUUUACACUGAAAAAUCCCCCCUCAUUACACUGAUCUUUUGUGGCUUUAAAUAGCCGAAAAAAAAGAAAAAUCAAAGACGAAUCUAAUCUGUUGUUUGUUCCUAUUUUGCUGCCCGAUUUUACUUUGUUCCAGUUUGUUGUUGCAGGUGUGGCGCGCAAGGAGCGGCGCGUGGAGAGGAGUGGCGCACGUGGAGGAGGCUCGCCCCGAACCUUGCGGCGGCUGAAAAGGGGAGGCCACAUGCUGCUUAGGGUUUCAAUUUUUGGAUUAGGGCUAGUCUUGCUGGGCCAUACGGGCCCUUUGUGACCUGUUUGGGUUAUUUUAAACCCAGGCCAAAAAUUG
RNAcentral lists this long non-coding RNA (651 nucleotides) under Gossypium raimondii (Peruvian cotton). RNAcentral's name for it is "long non-coding RNA (GRAI_LNC003802)". The record is from RNAcentral. Lineage: Eukaryota; Viridiplantae; Streptophyta; Magnoliopsida; Malvales; Malvaceae.